AGAUAAGAUCAAUAGUUCAAUUGGUCAAGAUCCAAAUUCUAAAUCUUUGAUUGGCGUGCUGGAUAUCUAUGGAUUUGAGAGUUUCAAGACUAAUAGCUUUGAACAAUUCUGCAUCAAUUUAACAAAUGAGAAGCUUCAGCAGCACUUCAAUCAGCAUGUUUUCAAAAUGGAACAAGAAGAGUAUACAAAAGAAGAAAUUAACUGGAGCUACAUUGAGUUCAUUGAUAAUCAAGAUAUUCUAGAUCUGGUAGAAAAGAAACCAGGUGGUAUUAUAGCACUUCUUGAUGAAGCUUGCAUGUUUCCUAGAUCUACUCAUGAAACUUUUGCUCAAAAGCUCUAUCAAACUUUCAAAAACCAUAAACGAUUCUGCAAGCCCAAGUUGGCUCGUUCUGAUUUCACUAUAUGCCAUUAUGCUGGUGAUGUCACGUAUCAAACAGAAUUAUUUCUGGAGAAAAACAAAGAUUAUGUUAUUGCUGAGCACCAGGCACUCCUGAAUGCUUCAACGUGUUCCUUUGUAUCUGGGCUGUUUCCAACAUCAAAUGAGGAAUCCUCAAAACAAUCAAAGUUUUCAUCAAUUGGCUCAAGGUUUAAGGCACGUAGAAUGCACCUUUUUUCUGUCAUGUUUGCUUUUCCUUCUUAUCUUUGCUAUGGUUGGGAGCAUGUUGAAGCAUGAUUUGUGUCAUUGUAUUUUUGCAGCAACAACUGCAAUCUUUGCUUGAAACACUGAAUGCAACAGAACCCCACUACAUUCGAUGUGUCAAGCCUAAUAAUCUGCUAAAGCCAGCUAUCUUUGAGAAUCACAACGUUCUGCAGCAGCUGCGUUGUGGAGGAGUGAUGGAAGCGAUUAGAAUAAGCAUG
RNAcentral lists this unclassified non-coding RNA (858 nucleotides) under Hevea brasiliensis (rubber tree). Lineage: Eukaryota; Viridiplantae; Streptophyta; Magnoliopsida; Malpighiales; Euphorbiaceae. The record is from RNAcentral.